AGUGAACGCUGGCGGUAGGCCUAACACAUGCAAGUCGAACGGCAGCACAGUAAGAGCUUGCUCUUACGGGUGGCGAGUGGCGGACGGGUGAGGAAUACAUCGGAAUCUACUUUUUCGUGGGGGAUAACGUAGGGAAACUUACGCUAAUACCGCAUACGACCUACGGGUGAAAGCAGGGGAUCUUCGGACCUUGCGCGAUUGAAUGAGCCGAUGUCGGAUUAGCUAGUUGGCGGGGUAAAGGCCCACCAAGGCGACGAUCCGUAGCUGGUCUGAGAGGAUGAGCAGCCACACUGGGACUGAGACACGGUCCAGACUCCUACGGGAGGCAGCAGUGGGGAAUAUUGGACAAUGGGCGCAAGCCUGAUCCAGCCAUACCGCGUGGGUGAAGAAGGCCUUCGGGUUGUAAAGCCCUUUUGUUGGGAAAGAAAAGCAGCAGGUUAAUACCCCGCUGUUCUGACGGUACCCAAAGAAUAAGCACCGGCUAACUUCGUG
This 492-nucleotide ribosomal RNA is filed under the name uncultured bacterium. Its description in RNAcentral is "partial 16S ribosomal RNA". It matches the Rfam family "Bacterial small subunit ribosomal RNA", at positions 29 to 507 of the family's 1533-position model. The record is from RNAcentral.